UCUAGAAAUUCACAUUUGAGCUAGAAAUUACGAAAUUAUGAAUCGUUAUCCAUUUAGAAAUACAAAUUCUAUCUCAUAUGUAAAAUUCUAGUCAUAUUUUUUUUCUUAACAUUCUCCAUUUUGAUGUGCCCGUACUCCUGUUCUGCGCUCAUUGUCUUUUAGUUGUAUUUCUUUUAAUUUCUUUUAAGUCGUUGGCUUCAGAACUUACUUUAGCAUUAACUGACAGAUAGUCCUUACAACGUAAUAUGUUACUCGAAAUGUAAGACGCAACUUUCUGUCAUCUGACAUAGGGCUUUUUAUCACGUUGACAACACAAAAAAAAAGGAUUUUUUUUAAACUUUGAAUUUGAAGAUUGUAUUUUUAAUAUUGUCAGUCGACUUGGAUCUACGAAAACAGCUGCCAAGUAGAAAUAAUAAAAUGUUUGGAUUCCUCAGUAUCGAAAAAUGUGCUAAUAUCCAA
Long non-coding RNA from Drosophila montana, 459 nucleotides. RefSeq lists it as uncharacterized. The record is from RefSeq and is a predicted model, not a curated record. The transcript is spliced from 2 exons. NCBI's taxonomy places the organism in Eukaryota, Metazoa, Arthropoda, Insecta, Diptera, Drosophilidae.